Molecule: transfer RNA, 73 nt
Organism: Ovis aries (sheep)
Lineage: Eukaryota; Metazoa; Chordata; Mammalia; Artiodactyla; Bovidae
Rfam family: tRNA
About the family: Transfer RNA (tRNA) molecules are approximately 80 nucleotides in length. Their secondary structure includes four short double-helical elements and three loops (D, anti-codon, and T loops). Further hydrogen bonds mediate the characteristic L-shaped molecular structure. tRNAs have two regions of fundamental functional importance: the anti-codon, which is responsible for specific mRNA codon recognition, and the 3' end, to which the tRNAs corresponding amino acid is attached (by aminoacyl-tRNA synthetases). tRNAs cope with the degeneracy of the genetic code in two manners: having more than one tRNA (with a specific anti-codon) for a particular amino acid; and 'wobble' base-pairing, i.e. permitting non-standard base-pairing at the 3rd anti-codon position.
Source: Rfam
UCCCUGACUGUCCAGUGGUUAAGACUCUGUGCUUUUACUGCUGAGGGUCCAGGUUCAAUCCCUGGUUGGGGAA